AAGGCUUUAGCUUAAUUAAAGCGUCUGGGUUGCAUUCAGAAUAUGUGGGAUAGAGUCCUGCAGGUCUUA
RNAcentral lists this transfer RNA (69 nucleotides) under Hoplunnis punctata. Its description in RNAcentral is "tRNA-Ala". It matches the Rfam family "tRNA". Rfam says of the family: Transfer RNA (tRNA) molecules are approximately 80 nucleotides in length. Their secondary structure includes four short double-helical elements and three loops (D, anti-codon, and T loops). RNAcentral also lists the same sequence under 3 other names. The record is from RNAcentral. Lineage: Eukaryota; Metazoa; Chordata; Actinopteri; Anguilliformes; Nettastomatidae.